UACGUAGGGUGCGAGCGUUGUCCGGAAUUAUUGGGCGUAAAGGGCUCGUAGGCGGUCUGUCGCGUCGGGAGUGAAAACUCAGGGCUUAACCCUGAGCCUGCUUCCGAUACGGGCAGACUAGGGGUAUGCAGGGGAGAACGGAAUUCCUGGUGUAGCGGUGAAAUGCGCAGAUAUCAGGAGGAACACCGGUGGCGAAGGCGGUUCUCUGGGCAUUACCUGACGCUGAGGAGCGAAAGCGUGGGGAGCGAUCCGG
Molecule: ribosomal RNA, 253 nt
Filed under: uncultured bacterium
Lineage: Bacteria
Description: partial 16S ribosomal RNA
Rfam family: Bacterial small subunit ribosomal RNA
Source: RNAcentral